GAUGAAGAACGUAGCGAAAUGCGAUACGUAAUGUGAAUUGCAGAAUUCAGUGAAUCAUCGAAUCUUUGAACGCAUAUUGCGCUCUCUGGUAUUCCGGAGAGCAUGCUUGUUUGAGUAUCAGUAAACACCUCAACUUCCAUAUCUUUUUUGAAAUGGGAGUUGGACUUGAGUGAUCCCAACGCUUUUCCUCACCGAAAAGUGGCGGGUUACUUGAAAUGCAGGUGCAGCUGGACUUUUCUCUGAGCUAUAAGCAUAUCUAUUUAGUCUGCCUAAAAAACAGAUUAUUACCUUUGCUGCAGCUAACAUAAAGGAGAUUAGUUCUUGUGCUGACUGAUGCAGGAUUCACAAAGACAGGCUUCGGCCGACUUUGCAAACUCGAUCUCAAAUCAAGUAAGACUACCCGCUGAACUUAAGCAUAUCAAUAAGCGGAGGA
Molecule: unclassified non-coding RNA, 433 nt
Filed under: soil metagenome
Description: partial contains 5.8S ribosomal RNA, internal transcribed spacer 2, and large subunit ribosomal RNA
Rfam family: 5.8S ribosomal RNA (bases 1-120)
Source: RNAcentral